Molecule: unclassified non-coding RNA, 446 nt
Filed under: Hevea brasiliensis (rubber tree)
Lineage: Eukaryota; Viridiplantae; Streptophyta; Magnoliopsida; Malpighiales; Euphorbiaceae
Source: RNAcentral
AAGAAAUCAGUGUUUUCCUUUGGCUUACCAAAAACAUUUGCAGCUUCUCCAUAGGCAGCAUCUGCAGGGGAAACCUUGGAACCAAUGGCAGCAGUACCAAUGAGGAGAGUAAGAGCCAAUCGUCUCGAGACGGCGGCGUUGCUGGCAUCAUCUUGCUUUUGUGCACGGCAAAUCAAUUGGUUAGGCUUAGGAGAUGAAACAGAGGAUGUUCUAGCAGGGCUAGAUCUUAGUGCAUGAUAUUGGUGCAAGAAACAUUGUGUGGAAGCAGCCAUUGCUCAAUUACUCUCUUUGGUUUGGUUUUGGGAAUGGAUUUUCCAAUUCUUUGUUACAAUGGUGAUGUUGGAGGGUCAAUAUGUUUUAGAUAAUUUUGUGAUGUGUGAAGGGAAAUUGGCUUAGUUUUUGGAUGUGGGGAAAGAUUAGAUUUAUGAUGUGGGAUAAGGUUUUUG